RNAcentral lists this ribosomal RNA (464 nucleotides) under Vreelandella stevensii. RNAcentral's name for it is "partial 16S ribosomal RNA". It matches the Rfam family "Bacterial small subunit ribosomal RNA", at positions 338 to 795 of the family's 1533-position model. Lineage: Bacteria; Pseudomonadati; Pseudomonadota; Gammaproteobacteria; Oceanospirillales; Halomonadaceae. The record is from RNAcentral.
CCUACGGGCGCAGCAGUGGGGAAUAUUGGACAAUGGGCGAAAGCCUGAUCCAGCCAUGCCGCGUGUGUGAAGAAGGCCUUCGGGUUGUAAAGCACUUUCAGUGGGGAAGAAAGCCUUGGGGCUAAUACCCUCGAGGAAGGACAUCACCCACAGAAGAAGCACCGGCUAACUCCGUGCCAGCAGCCGCGGUAAUACGGAGGGUGCGAGCGUUAAUCGGAAUUACUGGGCGUAAAGCGCGCGUAGGCGGUCUGAUAAGCCGGUUGUGAAAGCCCCGGGCUCAACCUGGGAACGGCAUCCGGAACUGUCAGGCUAGAGUGCAGGAGAGGAAGGUAGAAUUCCCGGUGUAGCGGUGAAAUGCGUAGAGAUCGGGAGGAAUACCAGUGGCGAAGGCGGCCUUCUGGACUGACACUGACGCUGAGGUGCGAAAGCGUGGGUAGCAAACAGGAUUAGAUACCCGAGUAGUC